UUUUAUCUAAUAUGAAUAAAUUUCAAUUUCGACUUGAAAAUAGAUUUAAUUUUAAUCCAUAUUAAUU
This 67-nucleotide transfer RNA is filed under the name Pristaulacus compressus. RNAcentral's name for it is "tRNA-Arg". Lineage: Eukaryota; Metazoa; Arthropoda; Insecta; Hymenoptera; Aulacidae. The record is from RNAcentral.